UAGUAGUAGUAAUUAAAACUAAACUAAUUUAAAAUGGCGGCAUUUCAUCUAAUUAGAGGAACUUGUCUUUUAAUCGAUAAUCCACGUUAAAUUUCACUUUUUCUCUAAAGUUCAUAUACCAUUGUUUUAAGAUUAAAUUUUCACAAACUAAUCAAAAUAAUUUUUAAUAAAUCAAAUCAAGGUAUGACUUAUGAAAAAGAAUAAAUGAGUUACAAUAAAAAUAAUUUAAUUAAAUAUAUUUAAAAAUAUAACAAAUAAGGAUUUAAUUUUAAAUUUAAUAAUAAUAUUAAAAAUUGAAAUAGAUUAUAAAUGUGC
This 315-nucleotide ribosomal RNA is filed under the name Tarlina woodwardi. Its description in RNAcentral is "partial 12S ribosomal RNA". The record is from RNAcentral. Lineage: Eukaryota; Metazoa; Arthropoda; Arachnida; Araneae; Gradungulidae.